This 565-nucleotide ribosomal RNA is filed under the name uncultured bacterium. RNAcentral describes it as "bacterial SSU rRNA". It matches the Rfam family "Bacterial small subunit ribosomal RNA", at positions 338 to 906 of the family's 1533-position model. The record is from RNAcentral.
CCUACGGGAGGCAGCAGUAAGGAAUAUUGGUCAAUGGAGGCAACUCUGAACCAGCCAUGCCGCGUGCAGGAUGACGGCCCUAUGGGUUGUAAACUGCUUUUAUACAAGAGAAAACCCUGGUACGUGUACCAGGUUGAUAGUAUUGUAAGAAUAAGCAUCGGCUAACUUCGUGCCAGCAGCCGCGGUAAGACGAAGGAUGCAAGCGUUAUCCGGAUUCAUUGGGUUUAAAGGGUGCGUAGGCGGACUGAUAAGUCAGUGGUGAAAUCUCUUUGCUUAACAAAGAAACUGCCAUUGAUACUGUCGGUCUAGAGUAUAGAUGACGUUGGCGGAAUAUGACAUGUAGUGGUGAAAUACUUAGAUAUGUCAUAGAACACCGAUUGCGAAGGCAGCUAACGAAACUAUAACUGACGCUGAGGCACGAAAGUGCGGGGAUCAAACAGGAUUAGAUACCCUGGUAGUCCGCACCGUAACGAUGAUUACUCGUUGUUGCGAUAUGACAGUCAGCGACCAAGCGAAAGCGAUAAGAAUCCACCUGGGGAGUAGCCGNGAACGUUGAAACUCAAAG